GAAGGUGUGUUAUUAUAGAACUGCUAAAUCCAUAACCCAAAAUUAAAACUUUGGCACCUUCC
Molecule: transfer RNA, 62 nt
Filed under: Gekko vittatus (white-lined gecko)
Lineage: Eukaryota; Metazoa; Chordata; Lepidosauria; Squamata; Gekkonidae
Description: tRNA-Ser specifying AGY codons
Source: RNAcentral